GACGAACGCUGGCGGCGUGCUUAACACAUGCAAGUCGAACGGAAAGGCCCUGCUUUUGUGGGGUGCUCGAGUGGCGAACGGGUGAGUAACACGUGAGUAACCUGCCCUUGACUUUGGGAUAACUUCAGGAAACUGGGGCUAAUACCGGAUAGGAGCUCCUGCUGCAUGGUGGGGGUUGGAAAGUUUCGGCGGUUGGGGCUGGACUCGCGGCUUAUCAGCUUGUUGGUGGGGUAGUGGCUUACCACGGCUUUGACGGGUAGCCGGCCUGAGAGGGUGACCGGCCACAUUGGGCCUGAGAUACGGCCCAGACUCCUACGGGAGGCAGCAGUGGGGAAUAUUGCACAAUGGGCGGAAGCCUGAUGCAGCAACGCCGCGUGCGGGAUGACGGCCUUCGGGUUGUAAACCGCUUUCGCCUGUGACGAAGCGUGAGUGACGGUAAUGGGUAAAGAAGCACCGGCUAACUACGUG
This 468-nucleotide ribosomal RNA is filed under the name uncultured bacterium. RNAcentral's name for it is "partial 16S ribosomal RNA". It matches the Rfam family "Bacterial small subunit ribosomal RNA", at positions 28 to 507 of the family's 1533-position model. The record is from RNAcentral.